Molecule: ribosomal RNA, 1520 nt
Filed under: uncultured prokaryote
Description: partial 16S ribosomal RNA
Rfam family: Bacterial small subunit ribosomal RNA
Source: RNAcentral
AGAGUUUGAUCCUGGCUCAGAACGAACGCUGGCGGCGUGCCUAAGACAUGCAAGUCGAACGGUAAGGCACCUUCGGGUGCACACGAGUGGCGCACGGGUGAGUAACGCGUGGGUAAUCUGCCCUCAGGUCGGGGACAACUUCGGGAAACUGGAGCUAAUACCGGAUGAGACCACGAAGCCUCUGGGCUUCGCGGAAAAAGGUGGCCUCUCCUUGGAAGCUACCGCCAGGGAUGAGCCCGCGUCCCAUUAGCUUGUUGGUGAGGUAACAGCUCACCAAGGCAACGAUGGGUAGCUGGUCUGAGAGGAUGAUCAGCCACACUGGAACUGAGACACGGUCCAGACUCCUACGGGAGGCAGCAGUCGGGAAUUUUGGGCAAUGGGCGAAAGCCUGACCCAGCAACGCCGCGUGAGGGAUGAAGGCCCUUCGGGUCGUAAACCUCUGUCGGGAGGGAAGAACGUUUUCCGGGCGAAUAAUCCGGUGGGCUGACGGUACCUCCAAAGGAAGCGCCGGCUAACUCCGUGCCAGCAGCCGCGGUAAUACGGAGGGCGCAAGCGUUGUUCGGAAUCAUUGGGCGUAAAGCGCGUGUAGGCGGCUUGGCAAGUCGGGUGUGAAAGCCCGGGGCCCAACCCCGGAACUGCAUUCGAAACUGCCUCGCUAGAGUCCCGGAGAGGAGAGCGGAAUUCCCGGUGUAGAGGUGAAAUUCGUAGAUAUCGGGAGGAACACCAGCGGCGAAGGCGGCUCUCUGGACGGUGACUGACGCUGAGACGCGAAAGCGUGGGGAGCAAACAGGAUUAGAUACCCUGGUAGUCCACGCCGUAAACGUUGGGUGCUAGGUGUCGCGGGUAUUCUUGUCCCUUUAGUGGCGCAGCUAACGCACUAAGUUGACCGCCUGGGGAGUACGGCCGCAAGGUUAAAACUCAAAUGAAUUGACGGGGGCCCGCACAAGCGGUGGAGCAUGUGGUUUAAUUCGAUGCAACGCGAAGAACCUUACCAGGUCUUGACAUCCCGAGAAUUUACUAGAGAUAGUUAGUGCCUUCGGGAACUCGGUGACAGGUGCUGCAUGGCUGUCGUCAGCUCGUGUCGUGAGAUGUUGGGUUAAGUCCCGUAACGAGCGCAACCCUUGUCCUUAGUUGCCAGCACGUAAUGGUGGGAACUCUAAGGAGACUGCCGGUGACAAACCGGAGGAAGGUGGGGACGACGUCAAGUCAUCAUGGCCCUUACGACCUGGGCUACACACGUGCUACAAUGGUCGGUACAGAGGGUUGCCAAGCCGCGAGGUGGAGCUAAUCCCAGAAAACCGAUCGUAGUCCGGAUUGGAGUCUGCAACUCGAAUCAAUGAAGUCGGAAUCGCUAGUAAUCGCGAAUCAGAAUGUCGAGGUGAAUAAGUUACCGGGACUUGUAAACACCGACCGUCACACCAUGGGAGUGGGUUGCAAAAGAAGUGGGCGACCUCCCCCGCAAAGGAGGCAGGUCCCCAAGGAGUGUUUGGUAACUGGGGUGAAGUCGUAACAAGGUAACC